Gallus gallus (chicken) is the source of this 1602-nucleotide long non-coding RNA. The record is from Ensembl. Lineage: Eukaryota; Metazoa; Chordata; Aves; Galliformes; Phasianidae.
UGAUAGUUUGCAGCCACUGCUACAGGGACAGAAAGGGAGUGGAAUUUUAUUUGUCUUUCUUUCUUCUUGCUCCGUCAGGAAAUAAUUCUAAUGAGCUCUUGGAGUCAGUGGCUGAUUGCAUCGUCACACACCAGGUCUGACUGUGAAGCUGAAGGAGAGGUCAUGGCAUCCAUUUUGCUCCUAAGCAUCUCCUCAUCUCACUGAGACUGGUUGAGGGCACUCUGAGGCCAUAAAGUUGUUUACUGGUGAAGAAAACAACUUGCAGGAUGGCACGACAUUUAAUUUUCAGUGUUGCAAGGUUCAAUCAAGCAUUAUCUCUGCCUACAUACACCAGAACAGGAAGGCAGUGAUAAAUGGACACAGUGAAGAAGCUGCAUUGCAUGUGUGAGAGAUGGGAAACUGAGGCACAGCCUAAACUGCUCUGCAGUCCAUCAUCCAUCUGCAAUCCAUCAUGGAAACUUUGGGGGAUCACCUGGUUUAAAACCACCUGAGGGACCCCACUGCCUCCUCCUGUUUCUUCUACAUCCUUCAUCCCUGCAUACAGGCACCAGUGACAAGAUUUCUAAUAUAACUUGCCCUUCUUUAAGACUCUUUGUGCACAUUUACGAUGACACAAAUCAAAUAUGCAUUCUUCUCACCUGUCAUCUGCAAAGAAGCUGAGGCAGAGAAAUUUAAGUGGCUGGUCUGAAGUCGAAGAAAAAAGCCCUGAGGCACAAUACACCAUGAGGACCCUCAAGUCCUGUCUUUAAGCCUUCAUUGCCCACAGCUCUGUGCCACACAGGCUGCUCCUUACUUACGUUGUCCCUGGUCAUAAUUAAGUAGAAUAGUUCAGUAGUUCUCUACUGAGCAAUAAAACAAGAGGUUCCCAGAUCUUGCACUUACUGGGAUACCCAAGGCUGGCUUUGUCUCUAUACAUUACUCAGAUCUAAUUAGAAUCGUAAAGGAUUUUCAUGACUUUGUAGUUUUCCCUGCUCAAAAGUAAAUCCGUCCUUAAUACCAUGGAGAGCACAUACUGAGAAAGUCAGAGAGAAGAGAGAAUUAAAGGAAAGCCCAGGCGAAGGUACGGGAGAGGAUGCCAGGUACAAUCACUGAAGCAAAUAAAGUGAAUUAGUUGAGAGGCAGUUAACCGUCCUGCUGAGAGAAGGAGCUAGGGACAGAAUGGCAAAACAGGGAGAUCUGAGCAGAGAUACAGUGCGCACAGAGAUGACAUUAAGGAGUUCAGCAGCCUUUGUUCUUAUUUACAUGGGUGUGAGUUCUAGAUGACCAGCUUGACAUGGGAGUUAUUUGUAUGCUAUUGUUCUCUGUGUAGCAAAGAGCAGAAUUUGGCCUCCUUUUCAUCAUAGAGUCUUCAAUCAGUCAGAAGAGAGUGGAUUUUUUUUCACUUCUGCCAGUUGUUGAGUGAAUGAUGGGUCAACUGAUAGUUUAAAGCCACAGAAAAUAAACUUUCUGAAGCCAAUCUCUCCCUACUCAUUUAUAUACACUAAUAACACACUUGUCUUAUAGCCCGUCUGGGAUUGCUUUGUUGUUUAGGUGUCAGGCUUUCCACCACCAUUAUGCACUCUUUCCAUUCCCUAGUGGCCAGCCUUCCCAGUGCCAGCUACC